Molecule: ribosomal RNA, 492 nt
Filed under: uncultured bacterium
Lineage: Bacteria
Description: partial 16S ribosomal RNA
Rfam family: Bacterial small subunit ribosomal RNA
Source: RNAcentral
AGUGAACGCUGGCGGUAGGCCUAACACAUGCCAGUCGAACGGCAGCACAGUAAGAGCUUGCUCUUACGGGUGGCGAGUGGCGGACGGGUGAGGAAUACAUCGGAAUCUACUUUUUCGUGGGGGAUAACGUAGGGAAACUUACGCUAAUACCGCAUACGACCUACGGGUGAAAGCAGGGGAUCUUCGGACCUUGCGCGAUUGAAUGAGCCGAUGCCGGAUUAGCUAGUUGGCGGGGUAAAGGCCCACCAAGGCGACGAUCCGUAGCUGGUCUGAGAGGAUGAUCAGCCACACUGGAACUGAGACACGGUCCAGACUCCUACGGGAGGCAGCAGUGGGGAAUGUUGGACAAUGGGCGCAAGCCUGAUCCAGCCAUACCGCGUGGGUGAAGAAGGCCUUCGGGUUGUAAAGCCCUUUUGUUGGGAAAGAAAAGCAGCAGGUUAAUACCCCGCUGUUCUGACGGUACCCAAAGAAUAAGCACCGGCUAACUUCGUG